This 578-nucleotide long non-coding RNA is filed under the name Triticum aestivum (bread wheat). RNAcentral describes it as "long non-coding RNA (TAES_LNC022534)". The record is from RNAcentral. Lineage: Eukaryota; Viridiplantae; Streptophyta; Magnoliopsida; Poales; Poaceae.
GGCAGCCCAUCCUAGACGCGUAGCUACUCUGCUCUCCACAUGAAUUUAGUACAUAAUACUCUCUCUCUGUCUGUCUCUCUCUCUCUCAAUUUAUUCAAACCUAUAGCAUGGACACAGUUUGUAUGAAAAAAUACCUCUGAAGUUCUAAUUUGUUGUACAGAGGCUGUCAGAAAUUAACAAAAUAUAAAUUAUUAUUUGUUCCUUGUUAUAUGACAGGAUUGGAUUGGGUUGUAGUGCAUGUCAGGCUCUAUUGAUCUCCGUCCACGAGUGGUGCUACCUCGAGUCCGGUCGACGGCGUCCACGAGCGCGAGCAGCCCGUAUCCGGGGGCAAGAUGAAGGUCACCCAUGAACCAUGCUUCCCCUAAUCACCUCCACCUUGUGUGAAUUUGCAGCUGAGAAUAAGCACAAGCACCUACAGUCCCCCGGUGGCUUUGGCCGCACUUGGCCACUAGCUCGUCCAUCAUGGUGACUCGCAACCGUCCAAGUGGAAUGCGGACAUCAGUCCAAGGAGAACUAGUUCGUAUAAACUGAUUGUUAUGUAUAAUUAGGGGAUCCAAUGUUGAAAAGUUCAAUUAAGC